RNAcentral lists this ribosomal RNA (492 nucleotides) under uncultured bacterium. RNAcentral's name for it is "partial 16S ribosomal RNA". It matches the Rfam family "Bacterial small subunit ribosomal RNA", at positions 29 to 507 of the family's 1533-position model. The record is from RNAcentral.
AUUGAACGCUGGCGGCAUGCUUUACACAUGCAAGUCGAACGGUAACAGGCCUUCGGGUGCUGACGAGUGGCGAACGGGUGAGUAAUGCAUCGGAACGUGCCCAGAGGUGGGGGAUAACGCAGCGAAAGCUGUGCUAAUACCGCAUGUGAUCUGAGGAUGAAAGCGGGGGACCAGGCAGCAAUGUUUGGCCUCGCGCCUUUGGAGCGGCCGAUGUCCGAUUAGGUAGUUGGGGGGGUAAAGGCCUACCAAGCCGACGAUCUGUAGCUGGUCUGAGAGGACGACCAGGCACACUGGGACUGAGACACGGCCCAGACUCCUACGGGAGGCAGCAGUGGGGAAUUUUGGACAAUGGGCGCAAGCCUGAUCCAGCAAUGCCGCGGGCGGGAAGAAGGCCUUCGGGUUGUAAACCGCUUUUGUACGGAACGAAAAGGCUCUGGCUAAUACCUGGGGCUGAUGACGGUACCGUAAGAAUAAGCACCGGCUAACUACGUG